Molecule: long non-coding RNA, 1576 nt
Filed under: Androctonus crassicauda
Lineage: Eukaryota; Metazoa; Arthropoda; Arachnida; Scorpiones; Buthidae
Source: RNAcentral
GAAAACGCGAAUGAACUUUCCAGUAGGAUUUUCUCGCUUGGGAAACGUUUCUUUAAACUUUUAAAAGAAAAAAAUGUUCUUACGCGGUCCGUCAACCGUUGAAUGUGCGGCGUAUUUACUCGAAUGCCAUCUCACUUCCGUUGUAGCUAUAGCGGCACAAGUAGUGGAAGUCAAACUGGGCUUAAAAUAAUAAUUUCGGCACAUAUUGUCCAAGAAUGUUACCGUAAUAGAGUAGGAGACUGUUCUAAAGAAGUCAAGACGUGCUGACGCAUUAAGAAAAGUCCGACGAUAAAAAUAACUGACCGGAAUUAGUAAACAAAUAGAACAAACCCGGAGUGCAGGUGGAAGCGCUGCCGUUUCCUCAUAGACGCCGAAGUUGCACAGCUGCCGUUUAUAAACCGUUCUUUUUUUUUCUUUUUUUUAAUCGCGAGACGAUAUCCUUCGCAGUCUGGUACAGUUUUAGUCGAUAGAAAGAUUUCUGUAUUUUGUCCUCAAUUUUUAUAAAAAAAUUUCGCUUUUGGCACGGGAUUAGCGUGUUAUUUCGUCUUUAUUUUUGUCCGCCACAUUCAUAACGCGUGAAUGACGAAACGGAAGUUGCGUAUCUCGGCUGCGAUUUCUAGGUAGCAGUUAUGCUAAAAAUUAGCUUUUAUGGCAGCCUGAAAACUGUCAAGCGCAGCUGGUUUGGUAAAGAUCUAACGUUUUCCCCCUUACAAUAUAUAUCUCUUAGCAAGCGAGUUUAAUAAAUGUAGUAAGAUUUUAGAGCGCGCGGCGGAUUAUAAAAGAGAAGAAUGGGACGGAGGUGUUUCCAGUCAACUCCGCCCAAAAGUGGAUCGGUCCCGUGGCGGGACACAUGGGAGAAGGAAAGAACCGAUUUAUAAAUAUUCAAAAUUCCAAAGUGACAUUCCCGGUGCAACCCUUCUCACAUUCUGGCUUCUGCUCCAUGCCGCCGCAAGACUAUUCACACUCCGAAGGCCACCUACGAAGACAACGCGAGAGGCACCCGACACCCGAGCACUCAACGCGAGCGCGCAACACACACCAGCUGUGUAUCCCUCGGCGGAUUUUUAUUUUGGAAAGACGGUAAUCAAAUAAGGCAAAGUUACGAAGUCCAGGUACAUUGCCCCGUUUGUUUUGACCAGAGUCGGCGGCAAAGCGCAACUUUAGACGUGCCCAUCCGACUGGCGCGGCCUCCCCUCCGGCCCAGUGGGUGCGGUCUCGUGUCACGGAGUCGUGCAGUGCAGUAAUGAUGGUAAUCGCUUCGUAGCGGCAGCCAGCCGGAACAAAGGCAAGCCGCCAGCCAGAGAACGAUAAGGGCUCCUGCGCCGGCGCUGUCCGUCCCAGUGUUGUAGGCGUCGACCAAGCGGAAAGACCUGCCGAACAUCCGUCGGCUAGAAGCGUAACACAGACCGGACCAGUCCGGUCGCACGGUACUUUGUAGCCCCCGAUUUAACGUACCGAAUUUUUGCCAGGUAACGACACCCUUGCACACUUAUGGUCCGUGCAAGCCAUCAACAUGACUGGGGGGCGUUGACCUGUCAGCCAUGUACUAUACCAGUCUGUUCUCUACCCUUCGACC